UCGAGGAUCUUUAGCAAUGGGGGAAACCCUGACUAUGCGACGCCGCGUGAGGGAUGAAGGUUUUCGGAUCGUAAACCUCUUUCGAUGGGGAAGAACAUCUGCAUUAAUAGUGCAGACUGACGGUACCUAGAGAAGAAGCCACGGCCAACUCCGUGCCAGCAGCCGCGGUAAUACGGAGGUGGCGAGCGUUACUCGGAUUCAUUGGGUGUAAAGGGCAGGUAGGUGUUCCGCCAAGUUGGUAGUGAAAUCCUUUGGCUCAACCAAAGAACUGCUUCCAAAACUGGCGGAAUUGAGGAUGAAAGAGGAGAGCGGAAUUCCCGGUGUAAGAGUGAAAUCUGUAGAUAUCGGGAGGAACACCCGUGGCGAAAGCGGCUCUCUGGUUCAACCCUGACACUGAACUGCGAAAGCUAGGGGAGCAAACAGG
RNAcentral lists this ribosomal RNA (424 nucleotides) under uncultured bacterium. Its description in RNAcentral is "bacterial SSU rRNA". It matches the Rfam family "Bacterial small subunit ribosomal RNA", at positions 355 to 776 of the family's 1533-position model. The record is from RNAcentral.